GCGACAAGAAGCCACAAGGCGGGUGGCCGGUCUAUGAAGCCUCCAUCAUCAAGCUAGCAGCCCAUGAAAUCGAAUGCAGAUCUUCCUGAUGUGAGAUUUACAUAAAUAUGUCAAAGUCUCAACCUCAUGCUGCCCUCCCCCAUCCUCCUAAACCUGUGGAUACAAAUGCAGAUUUCCUUAAUGUUCAAUGGUGCGUGUUCUUCUAAUGGCUGCCUUCCCACUGGAGGUUUUGAUCCACAGCAAUUUAAAAGGAGGACAGAGCAAAACGGACAUCGGCGCAGAGCGAAGAACUGCCCUUCAUAAGGACACUAUGACAGCCAUAUAUAUGGCAGUAAGGAAGAGGUUUCCCAAUGUGUCCAGAAGGGCUUUGAGGAUUGCAGUGAAAGCUGGGGGAACUGAGACUGACGGAAAAGGAAAAGAAAUUACAUUUUAAGUAUGUUGACUUAUGUUCAUACAAUCACACACACAUAUACACAUACACACACACAUAUAUAUACACACAUAUAUAUGUAUAUGUGUGUGUGUGUUUCUUUUAGAAUGUUUAAGUAUGUAAUGAGAAUAAAAUUAUAAAAUGAAUAUUCCUUGCUUGAUUGAUAUGCUAUAUGUAUGUUUUAAACAUCAAAUAAAGAUUUCU
Molecule: long non-coding RNA, 634 nt
Organism: Oreochromis aureus
Lineage: Eukaryota; Metazoa; Chordata; Actinopteri; Cichliformes; Cichlidae
Source: Ensembl